GCAGAGAAGCAGGGCACAGGCUGGUUACUCCUCCAGCACAGCAGCCUAUUACCCCUUCCCCCCCCCCUGCCCCCCUGCUCCCCUCAAUGGGCCCCUCUGCUGAAUACCCCACAUCAGAUACCCCAACUGCAUCCAGGCACAGGAACUACACUUAGAGGAAAUCACACACUCAUACUCCCAUGAGUGCACACUCAUUGUAUACCCAUCAGCUUCAAACACCAUCCUGCCCUCUUUCACACUCCACUACCACCUACACCCCCUUCCUGGAAAAAGUUUGGGGU
Non-coding RNA from Pelobates cultripes (western spadefoot toad), 281 nucleotides. The record is from the annotation of a GenBank genome assembly. Lineage: Eukaryota; Metazoa; Chordata; Amphibia; Anura; Pelobatidae.